Molecule: long non-coding RNA, 2218 nt
Filed under: Canis lupus familiaris (dog)
Lineage: Eukaryota; Metazoa; Chordata; Mammalia; Carnivora; Canidae
Description: lncRNA (ENSCAFG00000058670.1)
Source: RNAcentral
AGUCGCUGGGUGCCGGCGAGCCGAGCUAGCGGAUUGCAGCGGAAAAGCAAAGAUGUCAUACCGGAUCCUUUGCCUUCAGGACACAUUAAGGCAUGAGCACACCUCCACAAAGAGGCUCUCCACCAUAAAAGAAGUCUUCCCCUUGUCCAUCAUCCCGCUACAAUGCAUUUCCAUGGUUCAGGAUAUCUACAUCAACUCCUUUUGUGUGCUUUUUAAGUACCUGCCAGUAUGCGAUGGGGAAGAGAGCUGUGCUGCCCAUCUGCAAUCCAGAUACUUCUGGAGCAAAGACUCAGAUUGGAUAAAGACUCACUUUGUUUGGCUUCAGCUGAAAUGCUUUUUAGCAGCUUAAAAUAGUCUCCUGAAUCUUCCAAACUCCCAGGUGGCUAGGCACUAUAGUAUUUACCACAGGCUUGCUCUGGGAGGCAACUAACCACAGACGGUUCAUUUUUCCUUUCCUCUGCACCUUCACAUGACCUUCUUUUGCAUUCUCCUCACUCUAAAGGGCCUGUGGGCUGAGAGGUGACAACAUCCUCAACCAUGCUGCAUGUGGCUGCUGCUGGGGGCGGUCUUUGCAGCCGGGGAAACCCAUCCCUCCUCAACCUCAAACAGAGUAUUUCUGGUCCAAUGGAGCAGAUACAAAAUCUGGUUUGCCAUCAGCAACAUGGUUCUGGGCUGUUGGGUCAACGUGGAAAUGGGUUUCCAGAGGAUUUGGGAUUUCAAGGGCCUCCUUAACUGCCUCCAGGAUCAAUGAAGUCAACCCUCAUUGCUGGAGAAGCGCCAAAGCAAGGCAUUGAAGUGACAGACUGUGUCAGCGGCGAAGCCUAAUGUCAGAGGCGGCCUUCAGGAAUGCCAAGUCCGCUGAGCUCCAGAGGUCCUCGGGUAACGUCAAGAUAGGAGACAGGGCACCUGUGAGCAGGAAGUCUCACAUUCUAAAAAUCUAGCUCAUCAGAGUUCAUGUCCUUUAGCCAUCUCGUUCACCCGUCUUUCAAAACAGUGUUCUCUAAGGUUUAUGGAAACAUAUACCUACGUUGAAAUUUUUUAAAUGGCUUCUCUUGAGAAGUCCGCAAUGCCCACCUUUAAACAAUAGAAAGGCACACCUUAGUUUUCACAAAAUGAGAAAGUGGGAACCAAUUCUGAAGGAAAUAGUCAGCAGAGGCAUCCAUCCCCCCGGUGGAUGAUGCAGAGCCAGGCCUCAUUCCUGCCCCCUUCCACCCCCCAGCUUCUGCUAGUGGUGUGGCCUCAGACAGGAGCGGGCCACGGCACAGCUGAAUGGAAGAAAACGGUUCCUAAUAAGAGCAACCAGCUAAUGGAGGCUGCUUUCCCAUCGGUUUGGAGGAGGAGAGAAUCCACCAGCCCGGCCAACACAACCAAAUGCUGUGAGCGGCCUCCAUACUCACCCUAUCCCAUGGCAAGCCCAAAGCAGACAAUCCGACUCUCCAGAAUGAUUUGGAAGCCAUUUCUCCAGGAAUAAAAAAAUAAAUAAAUAUCUCCAUUCCACCUUCCAACAGCCUGAGAAUCAUGUCAGCAAGAAAGAACAGAGUACGGGCUUGACUCUGACAACAUGUUCGGUGAUAGUUUAACGCGUGUGGCGUCUUUCCUAGUAUACUUACUCCGUAAUCUGUCCAUCACUCCCUGGCUGUCACUCACCAGGGAACAACAGUGGGUUUCUACAAAUAGUACAUCAAUCACUAUCGUGGGAGAUUGAAAGCCCGUCCUACACGGGCACUCACACCACCCGUCACCCCUCUCUGUUCUUCUGAGCAGCACUGACAUGGUUUGCAUCCUCCUCCUGGACGGUGGGGGGUGGGGGGUCAGGAAAUCCGAACCUUUGGGCCCCCUCCUACCUUCCCAGGAAGGCUUUACUGAGUUUUCUUUCUCCUUCCAUGCUCCUGACAAGGAAACUGGGGACAUCCAGAAAAGCCUUCAGCAGCCCCGACUGCAAAAACACUGUCAGUGACGUGAUGUGAUUGAUGUUUUUAAUAUGUCAGGAAUAGGUAUGCACGCAAGCUAUUUUUAUUAUUCCUGUGGUAUUUUGAAUGUGGUUAUUCUUCUUAACGUGUAAUUCCUGCAUGUCCAGUAUUGAGAUGAAAUUGCUAAAACUGCCUUUGCCUUCAAAUAAGCUCUGUCUUUGUGAAUGUGUACGUUCCUCUGUAUGUCAGAUAAAUUGGCCUCUAUCUUUGCUGCUGUAAUUGCCUGUCUAUACCAGAAAGCAAGAAGC